RNAcentral lists this ribosomal RNA (254 nucleotides) under uncultured bacterium. RNAcentral describes it as "partial 16S ribosomal RNA". It matches the Rfam family "Bacterial small subunit ribosomal RNA", at positions 79 to 334 of the family's 1533-position model. The record is from RNAcentral.
CUUUCUUUGCUGGCGACCGGCGCACGGGUGAGUAACACGUAUCCAACCUGCCCUUUACUCGGGGAUAGCCUUUCGAAAGAAAGAUUAAUACCCGAUAGCAUAAUGAUUCCGCAUGGUUUCGUUAUUAAAGGAUUCCGGUAAAGGAUGGGGAUGCGUUCCAUUAGGUUGUUGGUGAGGUAACGGCUCACCAAGCCUUCGAUGGAUAGGGGUUCUGAGAGGAAGGUCCCCCACAUUGGAACUGAGACACGGUCCAA